AUACAGAGGGUGCAAGCGUUAAUCGGAUUUACUGGGCGUAAAGCGCGCGUAGGCGGCUAAUUAAGUCAAAUGAGAAAUCCCCGAGCUUAACUUGGGAAUUGCAUUCGAUACUGGUUAGCUAGAGUGUGGGAGAGGAUGGUAGAAUUCCAGGUGUAGCGGUGAAAUGCGUAGAGAUCUGGAGGAAUACCGAUGGCGAAGGCAGCCAUCUGGCCUAACACUGACGCUGAGGUGCGAAAGCGUGGGUAGCAAACGGGAUUAGAUACCCUAGUAGUCC
This 274-nucleotide ribosomal RNA is filed under the name uncultured bacterium. RNAcentral's name for it is "partial 16S ribosomal RNA". It matches the Rfam family "Bacterial small subunit ribosomal RNA", at positions 523 to 796 of the family's 1533-position model. The record is from RNAcentral.